AGUACGUGAAACUGCUUAGAGGUUAAGCCCGAUGAACCUGAAUAUCCAUUAUGGAAAAUUCAACAUUAAUAUUAUAAUAUUUAUUUAUAAAUAUUAUAAAAAUAGUGUGCAAUUUUUCCAUAUAAGGACAUUGUAAUCUGUUAAUGUAAUAAAUAUUUAUCAUAAGAUUCAGUAUAUAAAAGUUUAUUCAAAUUAGUUAUUUUCCGAUUUCUAACAUAGAAUAAAUUUAAUUGAAUUUGAUAAAUCAUUGACAGAUUUAUUUAUAUAUAGUGCUUAAAUUCUUAAUUGAAUUUUACAAUAAUUUAUAAAUGUAUUUUCAUUUAUUUAUUUAUUGUAUGCACUUAUAUGAUUAACAAUGCUAUAGAUUCAGGAUACCUUCGGGACCCGUCUUGAAACACGGACCAAGGAGUCUAACAUAUGUGCAAGUCAUUGGGUAUUUUUAAUAAAACCCAAAGGCAUAAUUAACUUAACUGUUUUUUUAUAUGGGAUUAGUUUAUAUUUUAUUAUGAAAUAUUAAUUCAAUCCCGGGGCGUUCUAUAUAGUUAUGUAUAAUAAUAUUUAUAUUAUUUAUGCCUCUAACUAGAGCGUACCUUGAGCAUAUAUGCUGUGACCCGAAAGAUG
This 621-nucleotide ribosomal RNA is filed under the name Merodon albifrons. Its description in RNAcentral is "eukaryotic LSU rRNA". The stretch from base 401 to 621 matches the Rfam family "Eukaryotic large subunit ribosomal RNA", at positions 665 to 825 of the family's 3401-position model. The record is from RNAcentral. Lineage: Eukaryota; Metazoa; Arthropoda; Insecta; Diptera; Syrphidae.